GUGGGCGUAGCUCAGCGGUAGAGCGCCGGACUGUGGCUCCGGAAGUCGCGGGUUCGAACCCCGUCGCCCACCCCA
RNAcentral lists this transfer RNA (75 nucleotides) under Acidobacteriota bacterium. RNAcentral describes it as "Acidobacteria bacterium tRNA-His". It matches the Rfam family "tRNA". Rfam says of the family: Transfer RNA (tRNA) molecules are approximately 80 nucleotides in length. Lineage: Bacteria; Pseudomonadati; Acidobacteriota. The record is from RNAcentral. RNAcentral also lists the same sequence under 1 other name.